Molecule: ribosomal RNA, 641 nt
Filed under: Cystofilobasidium infirmominiatum
Lineage: Eukaryota; Fungi; Basidiomycota; Tremellomycetes; Cystofilobasidiales; Cystofilobasidiaceae
Description: LSU rRNA
Rfam family: Eukaryotic large subunit ribosomal RNA
Source: RNAcentral
UGCAUUAUCAUAAGCGGAGGAAAAGAAACUAACAAGGAUUCCCCUAGUAACGGCGAGUGAAGCGGGAAGAGCUCAAAUUUAAAAUCUGGCAGGCUACGCUUGUCCGAAUUGUAAUCUCGAGAAGUGUUUUCCGCGUUGGCCUGUGUACAAGUCCCUUGGAACAGGGCGUCAUAGAGGGUGAGAAUCCCGUCCUUGACACAGACACCCAAUGCUUUGUGAUACACUCUCAAUGAGUCGAGUUGUUUGGGAAUGCAGCUCAAAAUGGGUGGUAAAUUCCAUCUAAAGCUAAAUACUGGCGAGAGACCGAUAGCGAACAAGUACCGUGAGGGAAAGAUGAAAAGCACUUUGGAAAGAGAGUCAAACAGUACGUGAAAUUGUUGAAAGGGAAACGAUUGAAGUCAGUCGUGCCUGCCUAGAUUCAGCCUUCUGGUGUAUUUCUAGGUCGGCAGGUCAGCAUCAGUUUGGGGGGGUUAACAAGGGAGCUGGGAAUGUGGCAACCUCGGUUGUGUUAUAGCCCAGUUUCGCAUUGAUCUCGCUGGACUGAGGAACGCAGUGCGCCCGCAAGGGUUGGUCUUCGGACACAUUCGCACUUAGGAUGCUGGCAUAAUGGCUUUAAACGACCCGUCUUGAACCGGGACCCA